UACUGUGAAUGUAAGGAGGACCGCAUAGUC
RNAcentral lists this non-coding RNA (30 nucleotides) under Rattus norvegicus (Norway rat). The record is from RNAcentral. Lineage: Eukaryota; Metazoa; Chordata; Mammalia; Rodentia; Muridae.